CAAACUCUUCCAUUGUAUAUAGCUCUGUGUUGCUGAAUCUACCUAAACUGAUAAUUAUAGCUGUGAAUCACCAUGGCAGAAGCUGACAUUAUGUUUGUGAAUUACAUUAGCAAGAGGCUGGAUAUACAUGGAGAAAAACAGGAGGCCUAAGACAGGACCUUAUGGGACUCCAGAUAACAUUUGAACAAUCUCCAUUAAAGUAAUAAUAAUAAUAAUAAUAAUAAUAAUAAUAAUCAUCAUCAUCAUCAUUAUCAUAACAACUGAUAAUGUGUAUGUGUCAUGAUUCCCCCUUGAAGCAGCGUGCUCUAAGCGCGAAUGCGCGAGCACCUGCUUUUCCGUUGUUGACCGUAAUGACAUCUGGACACGUGUGUUUUGGUUAUGUUUCUGUCAUCUCCCCCCUGUUUUGUCAUUGGCUGGGAUUUCACGUGGGUCUGUAUUGCUCUCAGCUGCUAGCGGUUUAGACGCUGAUCAUGUCCGCAUAUAUACCGCACGCCUCCCAGCACACAAGGCGGAAGAUUACUAUAGAGUUAGUUUAGUUCGUAUCGUAGUCAUAGUCAUAGUCAUAGUCACGGUCCAUGUUUAGAGUUAGUUUAGUUCGUAUCGUAGUCAUAGUCACGGUCCAUGUUUAGAGUUAGUUCGCGCUGGAUUAUCUGCUUCCAGUCCCUCGUCAUAGUUCGUUUCUCGUUUUGUUUACCGACCCUGUUUUCCAUGACCACGACCUAGAUUCCUGCCUUGCCCCGUGUAUGCCUGUUUGCCAAUGGCCUGACCUCUUGCAUGUUAUGGAUUACGUUUUGGAUCACGUAUUGGAUUUGUCUGCCUGUCUCUCUUUCAAAUAAACAACUGUUCAUCCUGCACUUGCAUCCGUCCUAUCUCUGCUCCGUCACGAUCCGUGAUAGUAUGUGCCUAAAUUAAACAAAUAUAGUCGUGUUAAACAAUCUACAAUCUUUGACUAUUUAACUGUAAAUAUGCAACAUUUGUGUAGCACUUUGUAAAAUCUAAAUGUGUACUCAUUUCACGCAGUGAUUAAUUAAUUCCAUGUGUAUUGAAAAUUAACAUAGAUAGCAAAAAAUGGUAGCUAUGUUUGAUGUUUGGCUGUAUAUGGUUUUACAGUACAGUAAUUACUCAGAUUUAAUGGUAAUUGUAAGUCUGUAAUGGUGCAUACUGGAUAAGUUGGAAAUGUAAGUUAUAAUAGUAGCUAAAAUGAAAAACAAAAAAACCUGGUAUGAUACAACACUUAAAGCUUAAAGUCCAUUUGUUGCCUGUUUAUAUACAAGAAUAUACAUAACUCUAGUUACCAAUGAGUCAUCAUUUACCAUUAAUACAGAUUCCUUGUAUUGCUCUCUCUCUCUUUCUCACUCUCUCACUCACACACAUUGUCACUCUCUUUGCAUGCACCUUUAUUCGUUCUAUGGUCAUGAGCUAUUGGUGUUUACUGCAAUAGCCACAAUCUAAAGAAUCUAUUAUCCUUAUUACGUGGAGUGUUUUAGAGGGUUCAGGACCCUAUAAUUCCAGACUGUGUGUUUCCAUCACUGCUGAAUGAAUAAUGCAUCAGGAUCCACUCAGCUAAUCUGGCAGGGUUGAGUACAGGUAAUCAGUGCAGGACAAAACAUAGCAGGAAACCACUCGCUGACCCUUUCUGCCCAGCACAACCACUACAUAAUAAAGUGAAUAGUGAAAGCACUGUUGGAACAACAAGUCCUUUAUGCCAGUAAGAGAACAUAGGUUUGCCCAUCAGUGUAUAGUUGUGCUAUCAUUUGCCAAUUUCAAGCACAUUUCACAUUUUCCCACAUGUUUAGGAAUACACACGAAUAAUUUGGUGUAUUAAAUAUAUCUUAAUGUGUCAUUUCUACAAGUCGCUAAACAGACGGAUGUCACUGAGGCUGAGAUGCCUGUACCAUGUCAGAUAUAGAUGCAGCCUUGUUAUUUUCAGCUGAAACUGGUUUUAGGCUAAGCUCACUCACUCAUGUGAAGUGUUUGCUAAUCAGUGAAUCAGUGUAACUUCACCAAUACCCAUCUUAUCACCUCAUUAAACAUGUACAAUUUUAAAACUUACAAGGUUUUAAAGAUGGCCUAACUACACAAAAACUCAUCAUGGGAAGACAGAUAAAUCUUUUGGCAGAAGACUUUCUUAUCUUUUUUCCCCCAGUGAAACUAUAGUGUUAAUAGUAUCAUAAUUAUUAGGGAUGGUGGAACUCAGUGGAUUCAUUCUCAUAUUUUUUUUUCUUUCAAUGUUCCUGUAAUAUAUCUGCUUCUGUGAGAUUGCAAUUAAGUAAUUCCCUCAGCUGUUAGCUGGACCUGAAUAAAUAUUACUGUGUAAUACUGUGCAAAAUGCAUUAUUCAGUAAGACAAAGCUGAUGUUGGACAUUUAUAAUUCAGCUCCAGCUCUUUCUGGUCAUAUUUUAUCCUUGUUAACAGCAAAGCAAGACUGUCCAAACUAAGUCUGAAAGUGAAACCAUUUGUCUGCUAAGCCAUUAAUGAGCUCAUUUCAGCAGAGUGUUUACUAAAAUCUCACAAUAAAUAAGAUAUUAAUUCCCUCUAGUCUGCAUUGACAUCCUCAGCAUCUUUACCACAUCCAUCACCAUCAUUCCAUUCAUCAAAUCUCUAAAUAGCCAGUGGCAUCAUUGGCUUAUAAUGGCAUGAUAAUGUACUAUACAGUAUGCCUUGUCAGAAAUGCCAGUCAGUACACCAUAAGCAAAGGUGGACAACUACUACUACUAGUCUGGGUACCAGGGACAAGCGUAUAAUGUCAGCGCUAUUAGUAAUUUUAUUCAUAGUUUCACUUUAUUGAAAGGAGAAGAAACUCUACUUUAGACACUAGUUUAGUGUGGGGGGAACAGUGGCUUAGUGGUUAGCACGUUUGUUCACAUCUCAAGGGUUGGGGGUUUGAUUCCUGCUUCCGUCCUGUGUGCGUGGAGUUUGAACGAUCUCCCUGUGCUUUGGGUUUUCCUCCUUGUACUCCAGUUUCCUCUCCCAGUCCAAAGACAUAAAUGUUGUAGGCUGAUUGGCAAAUCCAAAUUGUCCGUAGUGUGUGAAUGUGUGUGAGAUUGUGCCCUGUGAAAGUUUGUCCAGGGUGUACCCUGCCUUGUGCCCGAUGCUCAAUGGAAUAGGCUCCAGGUUCCCCGUGACCCUGAAGAAUAAGCUGUAUAGAAAAUGGAUGGAUGAAUGACUGGUGUGUUUUUAAACUAUUUUAGAACAAAUUCACAAGUUCCUCAUCUUGCAUUUCCAAGAAUGGUACGUGCUGCUCUUGUGUCAUUUUGUUUUGAGGCCUGUCAUGUACUUUGUUUAUGUUUGUUACUUGUUAUGACUUGCUUUUAUUUUGGUUUUGGUCCUGUCUUUGCCUCCAUCUUGUCAGUGGUGUAAUUGUGUCCUCGUGUUCUGUGUUAAACCUUUGAUUAAUUUAACCAUAUCCGGAUAGGAUUAAAUUUAUAUGGGGUCGUGCUCCUCUGUGACUUUAUUACUGUCCAGAUGAGACAUGUUGGUGCUUUUCUCCGUUCUCUUCUGAGAAAAUUACAGGCUGAAUUGCCUACUGUUUUUUUUUCCAAACUCAGUGAUCAUCUGAUAAUUUUAGUCCCGUCUGGAUAUACAUGCCCGUGAUUUUUCUAUGCAGUUGUGUUGUGUGUCUACGCCUUGUAUUGAAAAAAGUUGUCUAACUGCUGCUACUUACCAUAUUUAGGGCGUGUAUCAGUGACACUCUCCUAGGUAUUAAACACUUCCUGGAUGCUUCUCAUAUACUUUGUGAUUAUUAUUUUACUGUAUUUCAAAUUGUAUACUCCAGUUUCUCUACAAACGCUUGGACACCAUGUUGUGAACAGAACGUGAUCAUAUGACCAUGUGACACAAAUAUCCGGGUUCGUAGAGAACACAACCCGCUAGAAACUCAGUGCUCCUGUGGUAAUAAUUAUAAUAAAAACAGCAGCACAAAUCUGACAUAUACCGUAAUUUUCCUGCUAGCACAACAUGUCAUUUUGUGCUUUUUUUUUUUUACAGAAAACUACUUGAAUUGGAAAAAUUGCAGUUGCAAGAAAUUGUUUUGCACAGUCUUUUACUGUGAUUUUUGUUGGUAAAUGAGACCUUUUAGCUGUACUCAUGUUCAACACGCAUGAAUCGAAGAAGGCUUUGGCUGAAUGCACAUUGUGAUGAUGUCACACGACAUGUCUUGGACAAAUCUUCAGAAAAUCUGCAGUAAUUUAGAAAAAAAUUGCAAGUUCCUCCAAAUAAUUCGGACUAAUUGCAUUAAUUUCUGCGACUGCAAAAUCGCGAAAUCCUGGAGGGACUGCUUAGGAGGUUUUGUUAGCUCGUAAUAAUCAGAUAUUUGUUUGUUUCAAGUUCAAGUUCUUAUGUGAAAUUCUUAAUUGCAAGUACACGAAUUGUACAAUUAUUAUAUCACAAAGACAAGGCACAUAAGACACCUGAGGCACAUAAGACACAAGACAUAAGACAUAAGACUUAAAGUGCACAAUAGUGCAAAGAUAAUACAGUGCAGGGAGAAACAAAAACAACAAAUAUCUCAGCACAGAAUGCACAUUGUAAUAAGUGCUAUACACAUUAUGUAUAUGAGUGUCCUGAUUUGGUGUGUGUGUGUGUGUGUGUGCGUGUCUGUGAUGUACGUGCUGUUGUAAUGAAUGAUAUGUUGUUUAGUCCAUGUCCUCAUAGGAAUAGCUGGGUGUGAGUGUGUGUGUCCAUGAAACGGAGAUCAAAGAGAUUAUGCCUGAACUGCGGUCCCAUUCAGAGCACUAAUCACUUGUGAAAAAUAGCUCCUCUGGAAACGCCCCAUAUUGGUUUUUAUGCUGCGGUAGCAUUCGCCUGAGUGCAGUAGUGAGACCAGGCUAUGGUUAGAGUGACUGGAGUUUUUUUUUUUUCCCCCUUUUUCUGUGUUAAUGCAUAAUGCCAUACAUUAUUAGAUUACUUUAGCUACCACUUUUUAGUCUUGUUAGUUUCCAGGCAACCAAAACAUAGGCUUAGGCAGCACUGAGUUUUUAAACUUAUGAUUCAUCCACCCCUGAUAAGGUGAAUAUUGAAAGCUUAUAUGAAGUAACCGAUUAUUUGUAUUCAGAGGUAUGGUAGGAGCUUUGCACUGCCAGAGCAUCAGUCAUACUGAGCUGAAAGCACAAAAGUGUGUUACUUCCUCACAGCUUUAUGGCUUUCAGAUGGCUCAUUUGCACUCAUGAUACAGUAUGUAAAUUCACUUUGAUUUAAUGGAAUGAAAUCAAGCUGUGUCAUUAUGUUUAUAUCAAGAGACUAGCGUGUGAGCCUUUCCACCAGCCUCAAAGCUGUGCAGAUUUGCCUUUGUAAAAUUUUGUUUGUGCAGUAGAUUUUAUAGGAUAUUCUCAGAGGUAGUCAUUCUUAUUACUUUCUAGGUGAGCAGGCAUAACGUGCACACAAUUUAUUCCACGAGGAGCACAAGGCUUAAAAUGUGUUCGAGCUAUCCGAAUGAGUGGUUCUACAUCUUGGUUUUCUUGAAUUUUGUCUUUUUAUUUAUUAAUUCUCCUUUGUGUUUGGUGGAAACAUGAACAAGUCUCUCUGCAUACACAUUCUAAGUCUGUGUAAAAGGCCUCACUUUUGAGGCAGAUAGACACGAAGUAAACUUAGUUUAGCAGAAAGUAGUAACUGAACUUAGUUAAGCAGAAAGUAGUAACUAAUGUACAGUACAGUGCAAUUAUUAAAAGAUGUUAUUUUAAACCCAUGCAAAUUUGUAUAGCCUAUAUUCAUUGAGAACUUAAGGUAAGAUUGUCGAGUCAGAUAAGUAGUAGAAAGAAAGACGAGACCAGGUAGCCACACACAACUAUGUUUAAUGCAACUGCAUCAUUCCAUUACAUGUGCUCAAAUGCGUAUCCAAUCGUAUCACAAUUCAAAUCACUUCCGGAACGUAGCCCCUAAGCAAUAGGACUUCAUAAUAGUAGUCACAAUUAUUAUGAGCACAACAUUUUACAGAUUUUAAUUUUUUUUUUGACCAGCCAUACAUUCCAUUUUUUUUUAAGGGUACACUGACUGGGUUAUCGUUCCACUUCUCCACCCUUUUUUGCACCGACAUUUGUGCAGCUCCCCCUCACAUGAAUAUGCAUGAGGAACAGAAGUGCACUUUGCAUGUUACUGCAUAUUCAAAUUGUGCUUUUCGGCUUAUACGCCAAUUUCGUACAUAGCAUGCAAGGGAUUUGUGCAGAAUGUGGCCUAAUUACUCCUAAAAAUAGAGGCAAACAGCUUUGUAUAGCUAGUCUUUUAUGUUGUUUUGUCUUUAAUUAAUCAGCCAUCUCAUGGAAAUAAUGUUAAGUGAAGAUAACAAGGCAGAAUUCCUUAAAAUUCGAAUUUAUGAAACAACUGAAGAAGAAUCAAGCAGAUAAAAUAAGAUGUUAAUAAGAUACAUUUUUACAUUUCAUUUUUUAAAUUGCUUCUUACUCAGAAUUGUUUAGUAAUUACCACUAGGGAUUAUUAAUGUUGAUAAAACAUCAAGCUGGCAAAAAUUCUUGUUGUCAGUUCUAUUUCUCAUGUCAUGGUGACUCAGUGUGAUGGCAUAAUGAAUAGACAAUAAUUAAUUGAUCUUAUAAAGUCAGAUAUGAAUAAAUAUAAGAAAAUGAUGGUAAAGUCAUAAAAAAAACAAUAUACUACUAAAAUAGUAUUUUUAUGCCUACAAAUACCUUCAUAUACCUAUAUAACAUUAAUUCAGAUAGACACGGUAAUGUUUCAGCUCAAUGUGCAGCUAUUGAGUUGAUGAUGAAGAAGGAUAUUAACUCCUCUGCCUCCACAGAUGGCUUAAUAAACGGUAGCUUCUGCUCUCUGAAAUAGCCGCGCACAGCAUAUUUCUGACUCCAUUUCAAGUGGCACUGGAAAGAAAUUCCCCCCAAAGCCAUCUUUCCCAAGUCAAUCAACCAAGCCAUUGUUUCCAUUUCUCAUUCCUUUAGCAGAGCCCAUUACUAAAUGCUUUACAACACGCCGUCAUGCUGACAGUCCUCAGGGAUUGGAUGAUAUGAAUCAGCUUGAAACAGUGUGCACAAUCGAGUCAGCAGAAAUGGUAGAAUUCCUACUUCAUGUUAGUGAGAUAUGAGACUAGACGUUCCCCAGGAGCAAACAAACAAGUCACUGAUGGGAAUUAUUGUCUCUACAUGACCCAGGAAUGAAAACCAACAAGACACUCAUUCAGUUUUGUGUACUUGCUUGUUUGUGUUUGUCUAUGUACGUGUUUACUUAUUAUUAUUUUUUUGCUUGCUGGUCUGUUUGUGGUUCUUCUUCUUCUUCUUCUUCUAUUUUAUUUCAUUUUAUUUCAUUUUAUUUCAAUUCAGUUCUUGUGGGCAUGGAAGAGGUACCAUCACAGAGCACAAUCACACACACACGCACACACCCAUUCACAUAUCCAUUCACAUAAUAUGGACAAUUUAGUGAUGUCAAUCAGCCUACAGCACAUGUCUUUGGACUGGGAGAGAAAACCUGAGUACCCAGAGGAAACCCCCAAAGCACGGGGAGAACAUGCAGACUCCAUGCACACAGGGCAGAGGCGGGAAUCAAAUCUUCAGCCCGAAAACAGAAGGUGUUUUUUUAUUUUGUUUUUAGUUUUUGUUUGAUUGUUUCUUUGAUUGCUUGUUGUUGCUGUUGUUUUUGUUGUUCUUCUUCUGUUAUCAUUUUAUUUUAUUAUUAUGAUUUUUUUUUCUUAAGGAGUUUCUUGAGUAUGGCCUAAACCAGAAGUUGUUCACAAUAGUUUUCAUUUUCUUUUCAUUUAAUUCAUACAAAUAAUAUAUAAAUAAAAACCAA
This is a long non-coding RNA of Ictalurus punctatus (channel catfish), 7740 nucleotides long. The record is from Ensembl. NCBI's taxonomy places the organism in Eukaryota, Metazoa, Chordata, Actinopteri, Siluriformes, Ictaluridae.